This 547-nucleotide ribosomal RNA is filed under the name uncultured bacterium. RNAcentral describes it as "bacterial SSU rRNA". It matches the Rfam family "Bacterial small subunit ribosomal RNA", at positions 356 to 896 of the family's 1533-position model. The record is from RNAcentral.
GGGGAAUUUUGGACAAUGGGCGCAAGCCUGAUCCAGCCAUGCCGCGUGUCUGAAGAAGGCCUUCGGGUUGUAAAGGACUUUUGUCAGGGAAGAAAAGGCUGUCGCUAAUACCGACAGUUGAUGACGGUACCUGAAGAAUAAGCACCGGCUAACUACGUGCCAGCAGCCGCGGUAAUACGUAGGGUGCGAGCGUUAAUCGGAAUUACUGGGCGUAAAGCGAGCGCAGACGGUUACUUAAGCAGGAUGUGAAAUCCCCGGGCUCAACCUGGGAACUGCGUUCUGAACUGGGUGACUAGAGUGUGUCAGAGGGAGGUAGAAUUCCACGUGUAGCAGUGAAAUGCGUAGAGAUGUGGAGGAAUACCGAUGGCGAAGGCAGCCUCCUGGGAUAACACUGACGUUCAUGCUCGAAAGCGUGGGUAGCAAACAGGAUUAGAUACCCUGGUAGUCCACGCCCUAAACGAUGUCAAUUAGCUGUUGGGCAACUUGAUUGCUUAGUAGCGUAGCUAACGCGUGAAAUUGACCGCCUGGGAGUACGGUCGCAAGAUUA